UACGGAGGAUGCGAGCGUUAUCCGGAUUUAUUGGGUUUAAAGGGUGCGUAGGUGGUUUCUUAAGUCAGAGGUGAAAGGCUACGGCUCAACCGUAGUAAGCCUUUGAAACUGGGAAACUUGAGUGCAGGAGAGGAGAGUGGAAUUCCUAGUGUAGCGGUGAAAUGCGUAGAUAUUAGGAGGAACACCAGUUGCGAAGGCGGCUCUCUGGACUGUAACUGACACUGAGGCACGAAAGCGUGGGGAGCAAACAGG
Molecule: ribosomal RNA, 252 nt
Filed under: uncultured bacterium
Lineage: Bacteria
Description: partial 16S ribosomal RNA
Rfam family: Bacterial small subunit ribosomal RNA
Source: RNAcentral